This 557-nucleotide ribosomal RNA is filed under the name uncultured bacterium. RNAcentral describes it as "bacterial SSU rRNA". It matches the Rfam family "Bacterial small subunit ribosomal RNA", at positions 102 to 694 of the family's 1533-position model. The record is from RNAcentral.
ACGGGUGAGUAACGCGUGGGAACAUACCCUUUUCUACGGAAUAGCUCUGGGAAACUGGAAUUAAUACCGUAUACGCCCUACGGGGGAAAGAUUUAUCGGGGAAGGAUUGGCCCGCGUUGGAUUAGCUAGUUGGUGGGGUAAAGGCCUACCAAGGCGACGAUCCAUAGCUGGUCUGAGAGGAUGAUCAGCCACAUUGGGACUGAGACACGGCCCAAACUCCUACGGGAGGCAGCAGUGGGGAAUAUUGGACAAUGGGCGCAAGCCUGAUCCAGCCAUGCCGCGUGAGUGAUGAAGGCCUUAGGGUUGUGAAGCUCUUUCACCGAUGAAGAUAAUGACGGCAGUCGGAGAAGAAGCCCCGGCUAACUUCGUGCCAGCAGCCGCGGUAAUACGAAGGGGGCUAGCGUUGUUCGGAAUUACUGGGCGUAAAGCGCACGUAGGCGGAUAUUUAAGUCAGGGGUGAAAUCCCAGAGCUCAACUCUGGAACUGCCUUUGAUACUGGGUAUCUUGAGUAUGGAAGAGGUAAGUGGAAUUGCGAGUGUAGAGGUGAAAUUCGUAGA